AUUGAACGCUGGCGGUAGGCUUAACACAUGCAAGUCGAGCGGGGUGAUGGUGCUCGCACUAUCACUUAGCGGCGGACGGGUGAGUAAUGCUUAGGAAUCUGCCUAUUAGUGGGGGACAACAUCUCGAAAGGGAUGCUAAUACCGCAUACGUCCUACGGGAGAAAGCAGGGGAUCACUUGUGACCUUGCGCUAAUAGAUGAGCCUAAGUCGGAUUAGCUAGUUGGUGGGGUAAAGGCCUACCAAGGCGACGAUAUGUAGCGGGUCUGAGAGGAUGAUCCGCCACACUGGGACUGAGACACGGCCCAGACUCCUACGGGAGGCAGCAGUGGGGAAUAUUGGACAAUGGGGGGAACCCUGAUCCAGCCAUGCCGCGUGUGUGAAGAAGGCCUUAUGGUUGUAAAGCACUUUAAGCGAGGAGGAGGCUCUUUUGGUUAAUGCCCAAGAUGAGUGGACGUUACUCGCAGAAUAAGCACCGGCUAACUCUGUGCCAGCCGCCGCCGUAA
Molecule: ribosomal RNA, 503 nt
Filed under: uncultured bacterium
Lineage: Bacteria
Description: partial 16S ribosomal RNA
Rfam family: Bacterial small subunit ribosomal RNA
Source: RNAcentral